UACGUAGGGACCGAGCGUUGUCCGGAUUCAUUGGGCGUAAAGAGCUCGUAGGCGGCUGUUCAAGUCGAACGUGAAAACUCGGAGCUCAACUCCGAGCCUGCGUUCGAUACUGGACGGCUAGAGUCUGGUAGGGGGAUCUGGAAUUCCUGGUGUAGCGGUGGAAUGCGUAGAUAUCUGGAGGAACACCGGUGGCGAAGGCGGGUCUCUGGGCCGUAACUGACGCUGAGGAGCGAAAGCGUGGGGAGCGAACAGG
This 253-nucleotide ribosomal RNA is filed under the name uncultured bacterium. RNAcentral's name for it is "partial 16S ribosomal RNA". It matches the Rfam family "Bacterial small subunit ribosomal RNA", at positions 524 to 776 of the family's 1533-position model. The record is from RNAcentral.